AGAGUCAGCGAGGCGAUUACAGGUUGGCCCGUUCAGCCUGAGGAAAGUCCGGGCUCCCGAAAGACCAAACUUGCUGGAUAACGCCCAGUGCGGGUGACCGUGAGGAUAGUGCCACAGAAACAUACCGCCGAUGUGAUUUGUGAUUGACGAUUUUAGGGGUUGGAUUGAAUCCAAAAUCCAAAAUCCAAAAUCCAAAAUUUCACAGGUAAGGGUGCAAAGGUGCGGUAAGAGCGCACCAGCAGCAUCGAGAGGUGCUGGCUCGGUAAACCCCGGUUGGGAGCAAGGUCGCAGGGGUUAUGGUUGGUCUUUUUCCAGCCCCGCUUUUGGUGUACCGCAAGAGGCGUCUGGUAACAGCCGUCCCAGAUAGAUAAUCGCCCUCCUGGGUUUCCAGGAGAACAGAACCCGGCUUAUGUCUGGCUCUUCCC
RNAcentral lists this RNase P RNA (425 nucleotides) under Leptolyngbya sp. SIO1E4. Its description in RNAcentral is "RNase P RNA component class A". It matches the Rfam family "Bacterial RNase P class A". From Rfam's summary of the family: Ribonuclease P (RNase P) is a ubiquitous endoribonuclease, found in archaea, bacteria and eukarya as well as chloroplasts and mitochondria. Lineage: Bacteria; Bacillati; Cyanobacteriota; Cyanophyceae; Leptolyngbyales; Leptolyngbyaceae. The record is from RNAcentral.